Molecule: ribosomal RNA, 465 nt
Filed under: uncultured bacterium
Lineage: Bacteria
Description: partial 16S ribosomal RNA
Rfam family: Bacterial small subunit ribosomal RNA
Source: RNAcentral
GACGAACGCUGGCGGCGUGCUUAACACAUGCAAGUCGUACGGUAAGGCCCUUUCGGGGGUCCACGAGUGGCGAACGGGUGAGUAACACGUGAGUAACCUGCCCACAACUUUGGGAUAACGCUAGGAAACUGGUGCUAAUACUGGAUAUGUGCUCCUGCUGCAUGGUGGGGGUUGGAAAGCUCCGGCGGUUGUGGAUGGACUCGCGGCCUAUCAGCUUGUUGGUGGGGUAGUGGCCUACCAAGGCGGCGACGGAUAGCCGGCCUGAGAGGGUGACCGGCCACAUUGGGACUGAGAUACGGCCCAGACUCCUACGGGAGGCAGCAGUGGGGAAUAUUGCACAAUGGGCGCAAGCCUGAUGCAGCAACGCCGCGUGCGGGAUAACGGCCUUCGGGUUGUAAACCGCUUUCAGCAGGGACGAAGCUUUUUGUGACGGUACCUGCAGAAGAAGCACCGGCUAACUACGUG